GCACGCGCGCUACACUGAUGUACUCACUGAGUGCCCCAUCUUGCCUGUAGUUGGGCAGUCUUGCAAACCUACGUCGUGAUGGGGAUGGAUCAUUGCAACUAUUGCUCCUGAACGAGGAAUUCCUAGUAAAUGUAUGUCAUCAACUUGCAUUGAUUGUGUCCCUGCCUUUUGUACACACCGCCCGUCGCUCCUGCCGAUUGAGUGGUCCGGUGAACAGUUUGGGCCUGCUGUGCCCUUCAGCUCCUGAGAAGUGCAGUGAGAAGUUCAGUGAACCUUAUCACUUAGAGGAAGGAG
RNAcentral lists this ribosomal RNA (294 nucleotides) under Gambierdiscus sp. RNAcentral's name for it is "partial 18S ribosomal RNA". It matches the Rfam family "Eukaryotic small subunit ribosomal RNA", at positions 1489 to 1785 of the family's 1831-position model. Lineage: Eukaryota; Dinophyceae; Gonyaulacales; Pyrocystaceae. The record is from RNAcentral.